GUCCGUAUUUACGUUGAGGCGGGAGCCGCCGCCCUUCAUUCACCCACAUGGUCCUUCGAGGUGCUGCCGCCGCCGCCCGACCCGCGCCUUCGCGCCACUUCGCGCCCUCGGGCGAGGCCGGGGGGGUGGGGACGGCCUCCGCCGCGCGGCCGAGCCUCGCGCCCCUCGCCGAGCCCCUUCGCGGGCCGGGCCGGCCGCACCCCCCGGGCCCGGGGCCUCGGGGUCGUAGUCAAGCGGGGGCGGGUGGGGAGGCGGGCGCCGGAGCCCACGGCGGGCGAGGCGAAGAUGGUGGCGGCGACUUCUCCCGUCAUUCAUACACGUGGACCUAACUUCGCCAAGAGCUUAUCCUAAGGAUAGUUGCUGAAAACGAAGUUUUCGCAAGUGGGUGAGUGUAUUCUAAUUUUCUUUAACUUUUCUUUAAAAUAACUUUCUCUUGACUUUAAUUUGAAUAAUUAAGAUGUAAUUGGGUUUUUCAAGGGGUGAAAUGGGUAGUUUGUCCAUUUACAUUUUCUAGAUAAUUAACUCUGGGUCAGCUAAUUUUUAAGUUAGUAAAAAGUACAAUCCAGAUAUCUUUAUAAAUCUUUGGAAACUGAUGCACAGUUUACAAAUGUAAUUUUAAAACUGCUUUAAGUUGGAUGAUAAAAUCUAAUCUGUAGUGUUCCCAAGAUUUAAAAAUUAAGUGGAAUAUAUAAGAUCGACCAGUUGAUAAACUUGAAGUAUAGUCUGAACAGUAAUUUUAUGAAUUAGUUUACCAAAUAAUUGCUAAUUGGAAGCAGAAGAAAAGAUGUUUUUCCACGUGGAUGUGAAGAUUUCCUCUAAAAGGUACAUGAGUCAAAUUAUAUUCUCAUUUAUUUGCAAUCUGAUUUUGAUUUUGUAAGUAUGCCUUUGGGAAUGGAAGGUAAAGGAAGAGCCACCACUUUCUUUUACGGUAUUAGAAUGAUGAUUAAUUAUGAUUGUCUUGUGAAAAAAAAAGAGUUCUCUAUUUUUAAAGUCUAAAUGUGCUUCUGAAUGGAACUCACGGGUUUAAGGUAAUUGGACUCGUUUUCUCUUCCCCAUUAAGGAUUAUGCUAAAUUUUGUAUGUUUCAUAGCCUGUAAGAGUUUGAGGUGUUAUUCUAAUUAUUUAUUUAAAAUUUAGCAGGAAUAAAGAGAACAUCACCUUGUAAAACCUGAAGAUUGUGACCAGUCAGAGUAAUGUCAAAGUGCUUACAGUGCAGGUAGUGAUAUGUGCAUCUACUGCAGUGAAGGCACUUGUAGCAUUAUGGUGACAGCUGCCUCGGGGAGCCAUUGGUGGGCUUUAAAGCGCAGGGCCUGCUGGUGUUGAGUGCUUUUUGUUCUAAGGUGCAUCUAGUGCAGAUAGUGAAGUAGAUUAGCAUCUACUGCCCUAAGUGCUCCUUCUGGCAUAAGAAGUUAUGUUUUCAUCCAAGCCAAGCCAAGCAAGUAUAUAGGUGUUUUAAUGCUUUUUGUUUGCAGUCCUCUGUUAGUUUUGCAUAGUUGCACUACAAGAAGAAUGUAGUUGUGCAAAUCUAUGCAAAACUGAUGGUGGCCUGCUAUUUCCUUCAAGUAAUUUUUACUAAUUUUGUGUACUUUUAUUGUAUCGAUGUAGAAUCCGCCUGGUGUGUCUGAUGUGACAGCUUCUGUAGCACUAAAGUGCUUAUAGUGCAGGUAGUGUUUAGUUAUCUACUGCAUUAUGAGCACUUAAAGUACUGCUAGCUGUAGAACUCCAGCCUCGGCCUGUCGCCCAGUCAAACUGUCCAGUUACUGAACACUGUUCUAUGGUUAGUUUUGCAGGUUUGCAUCCAGCUGUGUGAUAUUCUGCUGUGCAAAUCCAUGCAAAACUGACUGUGGUAGUGAAAAGUCUGUAGAAAAGUAAGGGAAAAUCAAACCCCUUUCUACACAGGUUGGGAUCAGUUGCAAUGCUGUGUUUCUAUAUGGUAUUGCACUUGUCCCGGCCUGUUGAGUUUGGUGGGGAUUGUGACCAGAAGAUUUUGAAAAUUAAAUAUUACUGAAGAUUCACCUUCCACUUUUAAAUGUUCCAGAGAUAAAAAGUACUAAAAGUGCAAUUUUAAUUUGUCAGUGUGAAGUUUAUAUAUGUAACUUUGUUUCUUCAAUCAGAUUUCAUCUUUUUGUACUAAAACAUUUCACUACUAGGAUUGCAUGUCAGAUUUUACUAUGUUUAUAAUAUUUUUUGUCUGAUUAUUUGGUUAUCAAGCAUUCCAUAAUGACUGUCUGUAUAAAGGCUAUUUACUUUGAUAAAUGCACAAUAAUUUGUAAAAUUAGGAUAUGCCUCUUUGCUUUCUUAAUGUUUUAUUUUAAAAUUUAAUAAAUUAUGAUAUUUGUACACUACUUAAGUUUUUAAAUUUGGUAAAAAUUUCAUUCUGUUUAAAGCAGUGUAUAAAGAAAGUUGUUUAAGCAUGGAAUUUAGAUUUGUGAGGGAGACUGUCUUUUUUCUAGUAAACAAAUAUUUUACCAAUGUUACCAGUUCAUGAUAAAACUGUUAACUGGUUAUGUACUAGUUCUCUGGUAAUUUUUAAUGAUGUAAAAACUUUUAGUGAUCCUUAGACUCUGCUUUCUGGAAGUUAAAAAUAAGAAAACAAGACAAACUGAUGCCAGAUGGAGUCACAAGUAUGUGUAUGCGUACAUGUCUCUAACACCAAGAGUGUAGAAGUUGGGUGGAAAUUUGAAAAUCAUUUUGCAACAAUUCUAGGCUAAUGUAACUUACGUCACUGGAGUAGAACCUAAGAAGUGGCAGUUACAGUAUUUUAUCCAACAUUUCUGCCCUUUUUUUAAUGUGUCUUGUCUUUAGUUUAUGUUUCUUAUGUGUAGAAAAAUGUGGGUUAACUUAGGAAUGAUCAAAUUUGAAGAUGGGUUGUUAAAAUUGUGCCUGUGCUAAAUUUUAGUAAUAGGAAACAAAUUUCUAUAACAUUAUUAUACCACCUGAUAAGUUUAUAAAACAUUUAAAAAAUAUAGUAAGUCUAAUAAGAAAAUUUAAGCCUCUUGAAAUUAAAGGAGUUUAAUUAUGGAUCCCUGAAUAGAAAGGUAAGAGUUUCACAGUUCUGGAGCUGAUUAAAAGGUAUAAAUUUUCAGAAUGAGAAAAUAGUAAGAACAAUGCAGUGAUUUAUAAAACAAAUCUAAUUGUCCCUGAGUGUUCUUAAACCUUUGUGUUAUGAAAAAAAACCAACUGGAAAUUAUUCUGCUUGGGGUUAUUUUCUGACAAACAUUUCUUUAAAUAUUUUGUAAAGUUACAUAAUGUUAGCAUAGCGUACUAUGCUGUGGUUAUAAGGAGAAAAAGUGAUGUUUACAUGUACCAAACCAUAUAAUUGUAUUUUAAAGCUUUGGGGGAAAUACCUCUAGCAUUGUGGUUUAAAGUGGAACAGUGAUGAUUUCUCUAAUAUGCUAAAAUGUAACUCAAACUUUAAUAACAAAAUCUUAAAAUGGUUAACUCUUUCUCCCUAGACAUUUCACCUCUAGUACUUGUGUUCAGAACUUAACAGGACUUUUAAUCAAGACUUAAUAUCUACUAAACAAGUUAACAGUAUAAUUUCUUUUGGGGUUUUCAGUGGGCUGAACACUUUCUUAGACACUAACAGAAGACUGCAAAUAUAAAGGUUGACAUUAAUUUAGCCAUUUUUUGAUACAAAUAAGUGAACAAGUUGGUUGUAGCUGAAAAUUUCUCAUUGACCUGGGGAGAGUGGCCUUUUACUGUUUUAACCUUUAAAUUGCUUAAGACUUAAGGUACUGACCCAUUGCUUCAGGUUUGAGAGCAUUAAAACUCAGAAAAAAAUACAAACUUCUUCCUAGUAUUUCGCAUGUUACAUAUGCACGUACAAACUUAUAAUUUAUGUUUAAAAGGAAAGCACUUACGGUUUUACAAAUUAUCCUUUGUGAGAUAGUGAUUUUACUAAAAAUUUCUUUGAGAUCUUUAUUUUACAGGCAAACAUGUCUUAAGAAGAGCAAGCCAGAUGUGGGUUUUUCCCUACACUUGGAAGAGUCCUACAGAAUGAUUCCUAACAAAAUGCAACCUGCAGCUGCCUGGAGAACAAUUCUUUGUCAUGUUAAAGCUUAUGUACUUAAUGAAAUAACUUGUUAGUAACUGACAAUCCUGGUGUGGUUUGUCUAGCAUUAAGAUAAGUUAGGAGUCUGGGCUGAGCAGUAAAGGUAAGGAUAGCUCUAUACAGGCUAAUUUUUGGUGUAUGUCUGGAAAUACACAUACAAUACCUACUUGAGUCUUCACUCUCGAAAUGUGAAUUAAUGUACUUGGCUGUUUUGAUAAAUUAAUACACUUUGUAGUCUUAGUGAUAACGUUAGUAAAAUGUAAUAUUCUUUGUGAGUUUUAAAGGAUAAGAUGGAUGUAUCCCAUCAAUUUUAAGACCAUAGAAAAUUUGUUUUAAAAGGCUUAGUUUUUCCUAUUUGAACCACAGAGACACAGCAUUGAGAUGCCUAUUUUAUGUAUUUGCAAUUUAGUCAUGCUCUUUGAAUUGUUUAGUGCAUUUAAUGUAAAUAAUAAAGUUAUGUAUUUUAAAACUGCUUGUUGAGAAAUUGUCCAGAAUGAACAUAAUGAAAUAAAAAUUUUAAAGUUUUU
Long non-coding RNA from Myotis myotis, 4580 nucleotides. RefSeq lists it as uncharacterized. The transcript is spliced from 2 exons. Lineage: Eukaryota; Metazoa; Chordata; Mammalia; Chiroptera; Vespertilionidae. The record is from RefSeq and is a predicted model, not a curated record.